This 109-nucleotide small RNA is filed under the name Arabidopsis thaliana (thale cress). RNAcentral's name for it is "ATSL020140". The record is from RNAcentral. Lineage: Eukaryota; Viridiplantae; Streptophyta; Magnoliopsida; Brassicales; Brassicaceae.
CUAACUAAAUUUAAAUUUCAGAAUAUCUACAUAUACAUUUUUGCAACCAUUUUAGCAAAUAAAUCCUCUACUUGACACUUAUUUACAAUGGCAUGCCAUUGGCAUUAUU